Molecule: ribosomal RNA, 576 nt
Filed under: uncultured bacterium
Lineage: Bacteria
Description: bacterial SSU rRNA
Rfam family: Bacterial small subunit ribosomal RNA
Source: RNAcentral
CCUACGGGAGGCAGCAGUAGGGAAUAUUGGGCAAUGGAGGCAACUCUGACCCAGCCAUGCCGCGUGCAGGAAGAAGGCGUUAUGCGUUGUAAACUGCUUUUAUAUAGGAAGAAAUAGACCUUGCGAGGUAAGUUGACGGUACUAUAUGAAUAAGCACCGGCUAACUCCGUGCCAGCAGCCGCGGUAAUACGGAGGGUGCAAGCGUUGUCCGGAUUUAUUGGGUUUAAAGGGUGCGUAGGCGGUUUAUUAAGUCAGUGGUGAAAGACGGUCGCUCAACGAUUGCAGUGCCAUUGAUACUGGUAGACUUGAGUGGGAUUGAGGUAGCUGGAAUGGAUAGUGUAGCGGUGAAAUGCAUAGAUAUUAUCCAGAACACCAAUUGCGUAGGCAAGUUACUAAGUCUCAACUGACGCUGAGGCACGAAAGUGUGGGUAUCAAACAGGAUUAGAUACCCUGGUAGUCCACACUGUAAACGAUGAUAACUAACUGUUGGCUUUCGGGUCAGUGGUACAGAGAAAUCGUUAAGUUAUCCACCUGGGGAGUACGCCGGCAACGGUGAAACUCAAAUGAAUUGACCGG